Molecule: ribosomal RNA, 253 nt
Filed under: uncultured bacterium
Lineage: Bacteria
Description: partial 16S ribosomal RNA
Rfam family: Bacterial small subunit ribosomal RNA
Source: RNAcentral
UACGUAGGGUGCAAGCGUUGUCCGGAAUUAUUGGGCGUAAAGAGCUCGUAGGCGGUCUGUCGCGUCGGCUGUGAAAUCCCGAGGCUCAACCUCGGGUCUGCAGUCAAUACGGGCAAACUGGAGUGUUGCAGGGGAGACUGGAAUUCCUGGUGUAGCGGUGAAAUGCGCAGAUAUCAGGAGGAACACCGGUGGCGAAGGCGGAUCUCUGGGCCGAUACUGACGCUGAGGAGCGAAAGCGUGGGGAGCGAACAGG